GGAUGUGAGGACGGUCUGGCUGACUGGGCGGGUGUCCCCUUCUUCCCUCACUGUUUCAUGUGUAACCCUCCCAAAGCUGCACACUUGGUCAAAGAGGAUGACCUCCCCUGAAUAGAGGAGGAGUGGUCUUUGGCCAAGGGUAUACAAGCAGCUGUGCUCUCCUGCUAGAACCUCCAAACAAGCUCUCAAGAGUCAGGGUCUUACUAAGUUGCACAACAGGCCUUGAGCUUUCUGU
Molecule: small nuclear RNA, 235 nt
Filed under: Jaculus jaculus (lesser Egyptian jerboa)
Lineage: Eukaryota; Metazoa; Chordata; Mammalia; Rodentia; Dipodidae
Description: 7SK RNA (ENSJJAG00000007075.1)
Rfam family: 7SK RNA
About the family: 7SK was discovered as an abundant small nuclear RNA in the mid-70s but a possible function has only recently been suggested.
Source: Rfam by way of RNAcentral